CAGUAGCCGCGGGAACACGAAGGGUGCAAGCGUUACUCGGAAUUACUGGGCGUAAAGCGUGCGUAGGUGGUGGUUUAAGUCCGUUGUGAAAGCCCUGGGCUCAACCUGGGAAUUGCAGUGGAUACUGGGUCACUAGAGUGUGGUAGAGGAUAGUGGAAUUUCCGGUGUAGCAGUGAAAUGCGUAGAGAUCGGAAGGAACAUCUGUGGCGAAGGCGACUAUCUGGGCCAACACUGACACUGAGGCACGAAAGCGUGGGGAGCAAACAGGAUUAGAUACCCCAGUAGUCCCUGUCUCUUAUAA
RNAcentral lists this ribosomal RNA (301 nucleotides) under uncultured bacterium. RNAcentral's name for it is "partial 16S ribosomal RNA". It matches the Rfam family "Bacterial small subunit ribosomal RNA", at positions 509 to 809 of the family's 1533-position model. The record is from RNAcentral.